CUAAGGGAUGGUGGCUAGCCAGCCUUGGGGGGGUAAUUAGUGACUCCUAGCUUUCCUCCUUCUUAGAUGUGAUCUAUCAGAAUAUGACAGAGGGCCAGCCCUCGAGUGGUAGGAAGGUGUACGUCGCCUUUCAGAUUUGGCUGUCUAGGAGCAGCUUGGUCUUCAAUGCCGAGAUUGUGCCUGCACAUCAGAUGCUGGAGAGAGUCUACUAUUUUAUUGAAAAGUACAGUCAUUUUGAUGCGGCUGGCCAAUCCCUUGUCGCCUCGAGUUCUUGGGACUCUCUUAUUAUGUAUGCA
This 296-nucleotide long non-coding RNA is filed under the name Elaeis guineensis (African oil palm). Its description in RNAcentral is "long non-coding RNA (EGUI_LNC007302)". Lineage: Eukaryota; Viridiplantae; Streptophyta; Magnoliopsida; Arecales; Arecaceae. The record is from RNAcentral.